Xiphophorus hellerii (green swordtail) is the source of this 399-nucleotide long non-coding RNA. RefSeq lists it as uncharacterized. The record is from RefSeq and is a predicted model, not a curated record. NCBI's taxonomy places the organism in Eukaryota, Metazoa, Chordata, Actinopteri, Cyprinodontiformes, Poeciliidae. The transcript has 4 exons.
AGAAGACCUGCUCCACCUGCUGAUCUACUGGUUGUAACAGCUUGUGGGAAAGCAUCACUGGACCAAUCAGGCGAGAGAAGACAGAGAGGACUGAGGACUAAAACGAAAAUACUCUGCCUGCCAAAAAAGGUAGACGAUCCAGUGGCCCCAGGUUUACACACCAUCUGCUGGUUUGAGGCAGACCGACCGCUGGGGAGAUGGACCUCACCUGGCACCAUUACUCUGGAUGUAACAGCUCGACUCUCCUGUCAAUUAAAACAUCAGUGACUCGAGAAGCGGACAGCGAGGUUUCUGGUGCCUGGCUGGAGACGAGAUUCUGAUUAUUCAAGAGCCAAAACAAAACGUCAGAAUAAAUAGUUAGAAGGCAGAUUUGUUUUCUAUUUGUUUUUGUUUUCAUUA